Molecule: long non-coding RNA, 5531 nt
Filed under: Sus scrofa (pig)
Lineage: Eukaryota; Metazoa; Chordata; Mammalia; Artiodactyla; Suidae
Description: lncRNA (ENSSSCG00035028937.1)
Source: RNAcentral
UUUUUUUUUUUUUUUUUGCUUUUUAGGGCUGCAUAUGGAGGUUCCCAGGCUAGGGGUUGAAUCAGAGCUACAGCUGCCAGCCUACACCACAGCCACAGCAAUGUAGGAUCCAAGCCGCGUCUGCGACCUGCAUCACAGCUCGCAGCCACGCCGGAUCCUUAACCCAUUGAGCAAGGCCAAGGAUCGAACCUGCAACCUCACGGUUCCUAGUUAGAUUCGUUUCCACUGUGCCACGACGGGAACUACAAGCAGCAAAAUAAUUUCUUGAAAGGACCUCAGGUAACUUGCAGAAACCGAUCUUCAGUUACAGGGUAUUUAGUAUUUUGAAUUCUAAAGAAUUCAAACACAUGGCAGGAAAAAAUAUAUAUUUGUUCCAGAAAAUUGUAAACUUAUCUUCGCCCCUGCUUUCUCAAGAAGACAUAUAGGCAGGUAGCUGAGGGUUUCUGGUUUCCUGGGAACAAAGUCUUAGUCAGGGCGGAGGCCUUGCUACGCUAGAUCACAGCCUUACAGCCUGAGGACGAAGGGAAGCCCAGGGCUAACUCUGCAAAAAAAGGAGGUGGGGGUAGAGGAGACCCCGGAGAAGACAGAGGCUUGGGAUCACUUGAGGGGAGAGAGGGCUGUUUGCUGUAGCCCUCCUUCCAUCUCUAGAGAGAAAUCCUCAGUACAAUGCCCAUUUCUCACGGCAGCCUUGCGGCCCAGUUUUGCUUUGGGGUAAUUGAGGGAAGCACUGAGCCCUGCUCCUUGGUGAAGGGAGUGAGUGGAGGCGGUGAAAGGCUGACACACCUGCACUGUAUUUUCGGACCCUGCCUGGGCUUUGGAUGGGCCAUUCAAAUCUCGAGUGAAUCUGGGUUUCCAUCAUUACUCUAAAUAAAAAGCCAAACAUACAGCAUUGCACCUACAGUAAACCAAUGCACUUCAUUUUGUUAAGAGAGUAAGUCUCAUGUUGAAUGUUCCUACUGGCCUAAAAAAUUUAACAACCGAACAUGCCUCUCCCCACCCCAGUGCUGCAAAAGUGCCAGGGCAGAGGCUGAUUCAGCCCAAGGAAAGAUGACCCUGGGAUAUUACCUCAACACCAGAGGGAAGUUGUGACUGUGAGGUCAGCAUGCUGGCCUGAUCAAGAAUGGACUUUUCAGAAAGUGUAUUAGUCAGGAUCCUUUGGGUUGCAAAUCAUGGAAAUUCAUCUCUCACAUGUUAAUCAAAACAAACAAACAACACCCAAAAACGUAAAAGGGGAAGGUGGAAUUACUGGCUCACAUAAAUGUGAAAGGCAGGAGUAGCGCUAGCUUCAGGAACGGCUAGAUCCAGGCACACAAGUCAGGUUGCCAGGUGUUUAUCGCCAUCUCACCACUCUGUCCUUUUUUGUGUGGGCUUCUCUCCCAGUUUAUGUCCCUCCUGGAGGGGCAAGAUGGCCCCCCAAAGUACCAUCCCAAUAUCACCCCUGCUGGAAAGAGCUGACUUUCCCAACCGUUCUGAGGAAAGUAUCAGGAUUGAGUCUCAUGGAACUGGCUGGGUUAUUUCCCCAACCAUGGAGUUAGGAGAAUGGGGUGAGCCACACAGGAACUCCUUGAACUGAGAGCAUAGGCAGGAAAAAUCUCUUAAAGGAAGUCAAGGUAUUUCUGAUACCAGGAAUGGGAAAACAGCAGUCCGUGACAAAUGGAGACACGCAUCCUAUGAAGUGAGCUCAGGAGACAGAUAUAAAAACAACAACAACAAACUUCCUUGUGUCACCCCGGGCUGGAAAUUGGUGUUUAAUCCAGGCUUGAAGGACACAUGACUUACUAAGAAACGAGAGUGUCUCCAGGAAGGGGUGAGGCGGACUGGGGCAGAUACCCUUGGCUGAUUUGGGUCCCCACGCCUCCCCUUCUAGCCUUAGCUUCAGAGACAGGAUUUCCUGGAGCGGGAGCUGUCGCUGUAGAGCUGGCUACCAGACAAACUCUGAAACCUUGGUCAAGGCCACAUGCUGCCAGACAAGAGGGACGUUUGCAGGGACUGCAGCCCCAGGGACAAGAGAGGAGAAUGCUGAAUUGUGGUCAGAGCUUCAGUGCAUCGUUAGAGGAGGAUGGUCGGAGAGAGGGGGAAACGGAGCCACAGUUUAGAGGUUUUAGGCUCUGGCAGCAGGAACCAAACGCGGAUUCGAAGCUGCCCAUCGGGGCCUCCAUCUCUGCACGAGAAUGACCAGUGCUGCUUGAAGGCAUAGGCAGUGGAAAGGGAGGUGCCGGGAUUCCUCUGUCUCUGAGACAGAAGAGAGGAGAGAAGCGCUCCCCACACACAGUAGAACAGUAGAUAAAAGAGAUCUGUGCUGUGAGCCAUGAGCCGUAGGACGAGAUGUGCUUGAUCACAGCUUGGAGAAUCUGGCCCUGCGGGAGCAGAGAGAUAACCGUGGGUACAAGGGACACAGUCACAGUUUCCCCCGUCGCGCUGCCGCAAAGCAUUGGAAUGGCAGACAGCUUAUAAAUGUAUUAAAGCAAAAGGGCAUUUUCAGAGAGAGAGAACGCACAUGAGCACAGGUUAAAAAAGAGGGCCUGGGAGGUCCCAUCGUGGCGCAGCAGCAAAUGAACCCGACUAGCCAGGGAUCGAACCUGCAACCUCAUGGUUCCUAGUUGGGUUCUUAACCUGUUGAGCCAGGAUGGGAACUCCCAUGACCUUUCUUGUUCCAGGUCCUGGGAACUGCUUCUCAGCCCCUUUAGCCAUUCAGGCCUAGAGGUGGGGACAGCUCUGCUGCCAGCUCCACGUUAGUACACUUGAAGUCACCCUGUGCUUUGUAAUUAGGCCCUGUAUAAACAAACCGCCUGCCACUUUCAGGAGAUGGGGAGCUUGGCGCCGAGGCAGGAGGGGGUCUACCUUGUGCUACGGAGUAGGGGUGUCAGAGAUCUGGGGACCGGGUUUGUCUCUGAAGUGAGAGAGCGGAUCGGGCCUGAACAUGCCACCAGCUCUCCUGGGCUCUUUCAAUGCUAAUGCGUCCACAUUUCAAGCCACCACGGUUCCACAUCUCCCCUAGUUCUCUCUCUUCCCCAGCAAAGCUGAGUAUGUGUGGGAGGCAGAGGAAGCAGGGCCAAAUGGGGCAUCCAGGAGGCUCCCUCGAAGAGACUGGGGGCCUGUGGGGAGGGAAAGGGGCCUCUCCCCCUGGAUGCUCUCUGAGCUGGGACUCUGCAGGCUCAUCCUGGUGCUGCAGCUGGAAUCAAGUGUGGUGAGAAAGUGGGGCUGUGGGCAGGGGGGACCUACGAGACUGGGGCUGUUUGUGAACACAGAGAGUGGAUUAGAGAGUUCUAAAGACAGGCGGCUCAUGGAAGGGCCUACGUCAGCAAGCUUGUCAGGAUCAAGAUAUUGGGGGGCCUGGGAGGAACAUGGGGCACCCCUCCCAGUUCCUCAUACUUGCCAUGGCUCCAUAUGAAAGAGCGUGAGGUUGAGAGGAGGCACAGAGGGCCAGCCAGCAGCCACAAGGAGUAGGGUCCCCCAUUUGGGGGAGGGGCUGGGGACAGACCCAUGGUAGGGACAAAGGAAGGCCAGGCAGCCUCUGUCCGUGGAAGUCCUUGGCAAUGAGGGGCCAAGGGAGAGCUAAGUGACACCCAGAAAGUCACGGGUGUUCCCUCUGUGGACAUCACCACAUCACAGAGGCCACCAAGGGCAAACAGAACCGGAGCAAGGUCAGGGACAGGUCUCUGAAGCAGAAUGAAGCCGGGGGGGCAAGAGAGCUCACAGGCCUUCUCUCCACCCCCAGGAGUUAGUGAUGAGAAAAGAGAGCGGAGCAUGCCCCUGGCCUAUCACGGUCCCCAGCCACCAAGCCUCUCUAGUCACAUUCUAGCCUGGGUGGGGUAGAGGGUUGCUGUGAAUUGGGUAAGAGGUUGAAGUUUUUGCUUUGUUUUUUGUCUUUUUUUUUUUGCCUUUUCCAGGGCCAGCAUAUGGAGGUUCCCAGGCUAGGGGUCGAAUUGGAGCUGUAGCUACUGGCCUACACCAGAGCCACAGCAACACGGGAUCCAAGCUGAGUCUGCAACCACAGCUCACGGCAACGCCGGAUCGUUAACCCACUGAGCAAGGGCAGGGACCGAACCCGCAACCUCAUGGUUCCUAGUUGGAUUCGUUAACCACUGCGCCACAACGGGAACUCCGAGAUUGAAGUUUUAAACUGGACGGGUCUAGGUUUAAAUAACUGAAUGAGGAGUUCUCAUUGUGGUUUGGUGGGUUAAGAACCCAGCUAGUAUCCAUGAGGAUGUGGGUUUGAUCCCUGGCCGUGCUCAGUGGGUGAAUGACCCAGUGUUGCUGUGGCUGUGGUGUAGGCCGGCAGCUGCAGCUUUGAUUCACCCCAUGGCCCGGAAACUUCCAUGUGCUGCAGAUGUGGCCCUAAAAGAAAAGACCAGAAGGUUAUUAAAACUGCCUGUGGUGUUAAAAAAGAGGAAAGAGGAAAGGGAAUGAUGAGGAAGAUUAAAAAGACCCAGAAUUUCUUCAUGCAACUACCUCAACAGGUUGAACCAAACUCCUCAGCAACCAGGUGUGCUAAGAAAAUGACCACUGGCCUCCCAUCUCCAUAGUGAGGCAUCCCUCCCACCUGAGCCGAAGAGGGCACCUGGGGACCAGAGCACCUGCCAAAGAGCCUGAGCUUCACCUUGACUGGGCCGCCUUGGCUGACAAGCCUCUCUUGAACCCAUCCCUGGACCGAAGAGGUGGCAGGUACUGAUUGUUCGAGCUCAGGUCAUAUUUCUACCCCUGGAGGUGGCCUCCCUGGGACCACAGCAUUCCCAGAAGGGAGGUGGGAACUGCAGGGAAGAAGGAAGGAAGGAUGAAUUGGGGGAAAUUUCGCGUUGGGGAAACUUUUGGCAUAAAGUUUCUGUCCCAGGAAGAGAGUGGAACCAAAACAAAAACGUACAGGAGUUUUAUAAUUCCCAGAAUAACAGCCAUUGACACGCUUAAAGAUGACACUAACGGGGGGGUUGGAGCAGCAGGGCAGAGUUAAAUAUCCCGGCAGUAAGGAAAAGGAGGCCCUGUUCCCCGGUGGCCCAGUGAAGGACUCAGCAUUGUCACCGCUGUGGCUGCUGUGGCUCAGUACAGGAACUUGCGCAGGCCGUGGGUGCAGCCAAAACAAACAAACGAGAAAGAUUUUUAAAAAGAAAGAACGAAACAGGCGGCCAGGAGAGCUCUGAGCUGAGGGCGAGCUCCUGGGGGCUGGGAGGGGCCUCUGGAUGAAGGGAGGGCAGGAAGGGGAGCUUCGGGACUAAAGGCACGUCUGAAGGGGAUUUUCCGAAGUGAAAUGGUGAAAGUGAAAGUGAAGGAAGCCAAGAGCAGAGCCCUCGCCCCCGUUUUCCCGUGUGAAAUCAGCAGUUACAGGGUCAGUCUCUUCGGCUGUGGGCAUGACGACUGAAUGCAAGGUGGCAGCCAGGACUGGGUCCUGGGACAAAAGUGGGACAUGGCUGCAAACGCUGGUGAAGUCCACUUACAGCCUCGAGUGUAGUUCAUAGCCACUGUUGGAGGUUCCCCCCGGCCAAAAAAGAGAGAGAGAGACAAAAAAUAGUAAUUAAUGUCAAUUUCUUUGUUGUGAC